Molecule: ribosomal RNA, 497 nt
Filed under: uncultured bacterium
Lineage: Bacteria
Description: partial 16S ribosomal RNA
Rfam family: Bacterial small subunit ribosomal RNA
Source: RNAcentral
GAUGAACGCUGGCGGCGUGCCUAAUACAUGCAAGUCGAGCGAACGGACGAGAAGCUUGCUUCUCUGAUGUUAGCGGCGGACGGGUGAGUAACACGUGGAUAACCUACCUAUAAGACUGGGAUAACUUCGGGAAACCGGAGCUAAUACCGGAUAAUAUUUUGAACCGCAUGGUUCAAAAGUGAAAGGCGGUCUUGCUGUCACUUAUAGAUGGAUCCGCGCUGCAUUAGCUAGUUGGUAAGGUAACGGCUUACCAAGGCAACGAUGCAUAGCCGACCUGAGAGGGUGAUCGGCCACACUGGAACUGAGACCAGGUCCAGACUCCUAAGGGAGGCAGCAGUAGGGAAUCUUCCGCAAUGGGCGAAAGCCUGACGGAGCAACGCCGCGUGAGUGAUGAAGGUCUUCGGAUCGUAAAACUCUGUUAUUAGGGAAGAACAUAUGUGUAAGUAACUGUGCACAUCUUGACGGUACCUAAUCAGAAAGCCACGGCUAACUACGUG